AGGGUUUGAUCAUGGCUCAGGACGAACGCNGGCGGCGUGCUUAACACAUGCAAGUCGAACGGAAAGGCCCUGCUUGCAGGGUGCUCGAGUGGCGAACGGGUGAGUAACACGUGGGUGAUCUGCCCCUUACUUUGGGAUAAGCCUGGGAAACUGGGUCUAAUACUGGAUAGGACCAUGCUGUAGGUGGUGUGGUGGAAAGAUUUUUUCGGUAAGGGAUGAGCUCGCGGCCUAUCAGCUUGUUGGUGGGGUAAUGGCCUACCAAGGCGUCGACGGGUAGCCGGCCUGAGAGGGUGGACGGCCACAUUGGGACUGAGAUACGGCCCAGACUCCUACGGGAGGCAGCAGUGGGGAAUAUUGCACAAUGGGCGCAAGCCUGAUGCAGCGAUGCCGCGUGAGUGAAGAAGGCCCUUGGGUUGUAAAGCUCUUUCGUCGGGGAAGAAAAUGACUGUACCCGAAUAAGAAGGUCCGGCUAACUUCGUGCCAGCCGCCGCGGUAAUAC
Molecule: ribosomal RNA, 499 nt
Filed under: uncultured bacterium
Lineage: Bacteria
Description: bacterial SSU rRNA
Rfam family: Bacterial small subunit ribosomal RNA
Source: RNAcentral